This 484-nucleotide ribosomal RNA is filed under the name uncultured bacterium. RNAcentral's name for it is "partial 16S ribosomal RNA". It matches the Rfam family "Bacterial small subunit ribosomal RNA", at positions 28 to 523 of the family's 1533-position model. The record is from RNAcentral.
GACGAACGCUGGCGGCGUGCUUAACACAUGCAGGUCGAACGAUGAAGCCGGAGCUUGCUCUGGUGAAUUAGUGGCGAACGGGUGGGUAACACGUGAGUAACCUGCCCUUGACUCUGGGAUAACUGCGGGAAACUGUAGCUAAUACCGGAUACGACCCUCGGAGGCAUCUCCUGGGGGUGGAAAGAAUUUCGGUCAAGGAUGGACUCGCGGCCUAUCAGCUAGUUGGUGAGGUAAAGGCUCACCAAGGCGACGACGGGUAGCCGGCCUGAGAGGGUGACCGGCCACACUGGGACUGAGACACGGCCCAGACUCCUACGGGAGGCAGCAGUGGGGAAUAUUGCACAAUGGGCGCAAGCCUGAUGCAGCAACGCCGCGUGAGGGAUGACGGCCUUCGGGUUGUAAACCUCUUUUAGCAGGGAAGAAGCGAAAGUGACGGUACCUGCAGAAAAAGCACCGGCUAACUACGUGCCAGCCGCCGCAGUAA